Molecule: long non-coding RNA, 619 nt
Organism: Nelumbo nucifera (sacred lotus)
Lineage: Eukaryota; Viridiplantae; Streptophyta; Magnoliopsida; Proteales; Nelumbonaceae
Source: RefSeq, a predicted model, not a curated record
CGUUCUUCGGCUUGGGUUUGGACUUGAUCGGCGAUGAGAGCGAAAAGGCGCUCACGGAGACAAAAAGCGUAGACGCCAACACUGCUGCUGAGGUUGCCGAUACACAAGAAGAUCUUGAUGACACAGCAACGAAAAGUGCAAACGAUCCGUCUGGGAGGGAAGAAACACUGUGGAGGGUUGUUCCUCAUGAAGGUUUUUCGGAAGAUCGAUUGUAGUGGUCGAAGCUGCAGUAUUCAUGCAUGUUGAAGAAGUUGAAAGACUGUAUUACUCGGUAGUGAAGGACCCUUAUUUCACCGUCCCUACCACCAUCAUGGAAACUUAUUUGACCGUCCCCGUCAGAUGGCCCUUGAUGGAGCGACCAGAGAGUUCUCUUCACUGCUAAGUGGAGGUCGUCAGAUCAGAGUCGGCCCUGUUUUGUUUCCCCAUCUCUCGAUCCCUAUUUUGUUCCCCUCACCAGAAACGGACGUAUCUACACGCCUGUACCUUCCAAGCAACACCUACCAAUAAAAAUUGUGGUAAAACCAAAUCCGCUAUCAAUGUUCACUUGAGACUACUGAGAGGAAAAAAAGGAUGAUGCAGAAUACAUUAUAAGAAAUAUCUUUUACUGCGACGGCAGCAA